Non-coding RNA from Styela clava, 530 nucleotides. Lineage: Eukaryota; Metazoa; Chordata; Ascidiacea; Stolidobranchia; Styelidae. The record is from RefSeq and is a predicted model, not a curated record.
AAAAAAUACAAGGAAUGUGAACGAAUCAGAUAUACUUCCGGCCCAGACAAAUUUUGUUCCGCGAACGGUGAUGAAAAACACUCAACUUGCCGAGAUAGGAAAUGUACUCAUAUAUCUUACUACGGUUCGACAAAAUGUAAUUCACAAGUGGAAUUGUUCAAACCUUUUCAACACUACGGUGUUGAGUGCAAAAAGCCAAAUGUACUUUGCCACGGUGGCAAAAGUAACAAUGGACGAGAGAACGUCUUGUAUCCAGAUCCGUACAGAUCACACGAUUUAAUUGAUGAGGCUUGCAAAUGUCAAACUAUCUGGUGCUUGGAUGAAAUUAUGACAAUUUACGAAAAAGAAGGCAAAUUGUUCAAAGGAAACGUCACAGUGAAGACUCCGUGCAAAUGUGAAUGCAGAAAGAGAUUUAUUAUGAUGGGACCUUAUGGUAGAGGCAAAUAAUAUUUUUUAUAUACAGAUAUUCGAUCCUUAUCAAACAAAUUUAUCUGCCUUUCAUUGCAUUGGACAUACGUAAAAUAUAUGGA